Molecule: long non-coding RNA, 850 nt
Filed under: Equus asinus (donkey)
Lineage: Eukaryota; Metazoa; Chordata; Mammalia; Perissodactyla; Equidae
Description: lncRNA (ENSEASG00005018498.2)
Source: RNAcentral
GCGGCACCACGUGGGGCCCGGCGCGCCCGGCAGCCCAGGACCGGAGCUCGGGCUGUGCACGCGCCCUCCCGUUCGCCUCGCCACGCCGUGGGCCCCCCUUCCAGGAGGAGCGGGAAGGAAACAGGGGUCAGAGAAGGGAGCGGUGGGGCGCUCUGGGGCGCCCUGCUCCCUCUGCUGGCGCGUCUCGGCUCCCGUGCGUCCCGCCUCCGGUCCCGUCGCGCAACCGGCUCCGCAAGGAGGCGCGUCCUCAAGGGCCCCCCCAACCAGCCCGCCUUGAGCCCCGACGUCUCGCCCGCAGCCCAAAGGCGCCGGGGUCAACUGCUGCCAGCCUGCGGCCCAGGGGAGGGUCGGCUGGACCGCGUAGCCUCAAAGCCCGGGCUCCCCGCCCGCAGGGCCAGCGCGACAUGCGGGAGGCUCCAGCGCGCCUGAGUCUGCGCGCCGCGCGCGUCCAGGUGUGGAACAGGACCCGUUGCCAACUGCUCCUGCACCCCAGGACCUGAGGACUGUGGGACAUGCGCCAACUUUGCUGCUCAAGCUGGGGGUUCCCACCCAGUCACCUUUGCCAUCAGUUUGAGAAGAAAUCGGUUCCUGGUCAUCAGAGGAGGUAGCUGGGACCUCAGGAACAGAUGACCACUGUGAGAUGGAGAGAACCCCCUUCAUGUGGCCCCUGUGUGGGUCCAUGCAGCAAGAUCCUGGAGGGUGUAUCUGAGCAUUUUCUAUUCCGUGGCUCAUUCCGCAAACAUUUCUGGAGCUCCUGUGCCAUGGCAGGUGCCGGGCAGAGGGUGGCGACCCACAGGGGGCCCGCCCCUCCAGAAGCUCGUGCUGGCAAAGCAUUCUAAUAAAGCGUGAA